RNAcentral lists this ribosomal RNA (373 nucleotides) under uncultured organism. RNAcentral's name for it is "partial 16S ribosomal RNA". It matches the Rfam family "Bacterial small subunit ribosomal RNA", at positions 527 to 896 of the family's 1533-position model. The record is from RNAcentral.
GUAGGUGGCAAGCGUUGUCCGGAAUUAUUGGGCGUAAAGCGCGCGCAGGCGGUCCUUUAAGUCUGAUGUGAAAGCCCACGGCUCAACCGUGGAGGGUCAUUGGAAACUGGGGGACUUGAGUACAGAAGAGGAAAGCGGAAUUCCAAGUGUAGCGGUGAAAUGCGUAGAGAUUUGGAGGAACACCAGUGGCGAAGGCGGCUUUCUGGUCUGUAACUGACGCUGAGGCGCGAAAGCGCGGGGAGCAAACAGGGAUUAGAUACCCUGGUAGUCCACGCCGUAAACGAUGAGUGCUAAGUGUUAGGGGGUUUCCCGCCCCCUUAGUGCUGCAGCUAACGCAUUAAGCACUCCGCCUGGGGAUACGGCCGCAAGGCUG